GCUUCCAUAGCUCAGUUGGUAGAGCACUUCCAUGGUAAGGAAGAGGUCACCGGUUCGAGUCCGGUUGGAAGCU
RNAcentral lists this transfer RNA (73 nucleotides) under Metabacillus lacus. It matches the Rfam family "tRNA". Rfam says of the family: Transfer RNA (tRNA) molecules are approximately 80 nucleotides in length. Their secondary structure includes four short double-helical elements and three loops (D, anti-codon, and T loops). Further hydrogen bonds mediate the characteristic L-shaped molecular structure. tRNAs have two regions of fundamental functional importance: the anti-codon, which is responsible for specific mRNA codon recognition, and the 3' end, to which the tRNAs corresponding amino acid is attached (by aminoacyl-tRNA synthetases). tRNAs cope with the degeneracy of the genetic code in two manners: having more than one tRNA (with a specific anti-codon) for a particular amino acid; and 'wobble' base-pairing, i.e. permitting non-standard base-pairing at the 3rd anti-codon position. The record is from Rfam by way of RNAcentral. Lineage: Bacteria; Bacillati; Bacillota; Bacilli; Caryophanales; Bacillaceae.